RNAcentral lists this ribosomal RNA (257 nucleotides) under uncultured prokaryote. Its description in RNAcentral is "partial 16S ribosomal RNA". It matches the Rfam family "Bacterial small subunit ribosomal RNA", at positions 524 to 780 of the family's 1533-position model. The record is from RNAcentral.
UACGUAGGUGGCAAGCGUUGUCCGGAUUUAUUGGGCGUAAAGGGAGCGCAGGCGGUGACUUAAGUCUGAUGUGAAAGCCCACGGCUCAACCGUGGAAGGUCAUUGGAAACUGGGUCACUUGAAUGGAGCAGAGGAGAACGGAAUUCCAUGUGUAGCAGUGAAAUGCGUAGAUAUAUGGAGGAACACCAGUGGCGGAGGCGGUUCUCUGGGCUCACAUUGACGCUGAGGCUCGAAAGCGUGGGGAGCGAACAGGAUUA